GCGGGGGACAGUGGCGAGCAACGGGGGACGACGGAGAGCGGCGGGGAAUGAUGGGGAACGACGGGGAACAGCGGCAAGCAGCGGGGGAUGACAGAACGGCGGGGAAUGAUGGGGAACGGCGGCAAGCGACGGGAAACGGCAGGGAGCGGCGGGGAUAGCGGGGGCCGACGGGACAACAGGGGACAGCGGCGAGCGGCGAGGAACAAUGGGGGACGACGUCAAGCGGCGGGGAACAACGAGGGACGACGGGGACGGCGGCAAGAGGGGGCAAGUGGCGGCAGCGGGGGAACGGCAGGGGACGGCGGUGAGCGGCGGGGGACGGCGGUGAGCGGCGGGGGACAACAGGGCACAGCAGCGAGCGGCGGUGAACAGCGGGGGACGACGGGGGACGGCGUCGAGCGGCAGGGAACGAUGGGGGACGGCGGCAAGAGGGGGCGAGUGGUGGCAGCAAAGGAACAGCAGGCGAUGGGGAAUGGCAGCAGACGGCGGCGAGCGGCGGGGGACGGCGGAGAGCGGCGGGGGACGCCGGCAGAUGACGGGGGAACGGCAGGGGACAACGGGGGACAGCGUCGAGCGGGAACAGCGGCAAGCAGCGGGGGACAACAGAACGGCGGGGAAUGACGGGGAACGGCGGCGAGCAACGGGAAACGGCAGGGAGCGGCGGGGGACACCGGGGGACGACAGCAGACAACCGGGGACAGCGGCGAGUGGUGAGGAACGACAGUGGGCGGCGUCAAGCGGCGGGGAACAAUGAGGGACGACGCGGGACGGCGGCAAGAGGGGGCAAGCGGCGGCAGCGGGGGAACGUCAGGGGACGGCGGUGAGCGGCGGGGGACAACAGGGCACAGCGGCGAGUGGUGGUGAACAGCGGGGGACGACGGGGGAGGGCGUCGAGCGGGAGGGAACAAUGAGGGACGACGGGGGACGGCGGCAAGAGGGGGCGAGUGGUGGCAGCAGAGGAACAGCAGGCGAUGGAGAACGGCAGUAGAUGGCGGCGAGCGGCGGGGGACGGCGGACAGCGGCGGGGAAUGAUGGGGAACAGCGGCGAGUGACGGGGAACGGCAGGGAGCAGCGGGGGACGCCAGCAGAUGACGGGAGAUGCCAGGGGACAAUGGGGGACAGCGGGAGCGGCGUCAAACGACAUCGGACGACGGGGGACGGCGGCAAGUGGGGGCGAGCGGCGGCAGCGGGGAAAUGGCAGGGAGCGGCGGGGGAUGGCGGCGAGCGACGGGGGAUGGCAGGGAGUGGCAGGGGACGGCGUGGAACGACGCAGAACGGCGGGGAGUGGCGGGGGACGGCGGAGAGCGGCGGGGGACAGCGGCAGAUGACGGGGGAUGCCAGGGGAUGACGGGGAACAGUGUCGAGCGGCGGGGAACAACAGGGGACGACGGGGGACGGCGGCAAGUGGGGGCAAGCGGCGGCAGUGGGGAAAUGGCGGGGAGCAGCGGGGAACGGCGGCGAGCGACGGGGAACGGCAGGGAGUGGCAGGGGACGGCGGGGAACAGCGGCAAGCAGCGGGGGACAGCGAUGAGCGGCAGCAAGCAGCGGGGGAUGACGGGGAACGGC
RNAcentral lists this long non-coding RNA (1566 nucleotides) under Numida meleagris (helmeted guineafowl). RNAcentral's name for it is "lncRNA (ENSNMEG00000014326.1)". The record is from RNAcentral. Lineage: Eukaryota; Metazoa; Chordata; Aves; Galliformes; Numididae.